RNAcentral lists this unclassified non-coding RNA (316 nucleotides) under Basidiomycota sp. RNAcentral's name for it is "partial contains small subunit ribosomal RNA, internal transcribed spacer 1, and 5.8S ribosomal RNA". The stretch from base 1 to 47 matches the Rfam family "Eukaryotic small subunit ribosomal RNA", at positions 1785 to 1831 of the family's 1831-position model. Lineage: Eukaryota; Fungi; Basidiomycota. The record is from RNAcentral.
AAAGUCGUAACAAGGUUUCCGUAGGUGAACCUGCGGAAGGAUCAUUAAUGAAUAUCUAUGGCGUAGGUUGUAGCUGGCUUUUAGGAGCAUGUGCACACCCGUCAUUUUUAUCUUUCCACCUGUGCACCCAAUGUAGGUCUGGAUAACUCUCGCUCUAGAGCGGAUGCAAGGAUUGCCAUGUCGAAAGACUGGCUUUCUUUGAAUUUCCAGAUCUAUGUAUUUUACAAACCCCAAUUGAAUGACAAAGAAUGUAGUCAAUGGGCUUUUAUGCCUAUAAAACAAAAUACAACUUUCAGCAACGGAUCUCUUGGCUCUC